GGGGCCAUAGCUCAGCUGGGAGAGCGCCUGCCUUGCACGCAGGAGGUCAGCGGUUCGAUCCCGCUUGGCUCCA
This is a non-coding RNA of Idiomarina baltica OS145, 73 nucleotides long. The record is from Rfam. NCBI's taxonomy places the organism in Bacteria, Pseudomonadati, Pseudomonadota, Gammaproteobacteria, Alteromonadales, Idiomarinaceae.